UAACCUACCUUGAUCUGGGGGAUAGCCUCUCGAAAGAGAGAUUAACACCGCAUAACAUCACAUUACAGCAUUGUAGCGUGAUCAAAUAUUUAUAGGAUCAAGAUGGACAUGCGGGACAUUAGCUAGUUGGCGGGGUAACGGCCCACCAAGGCGACGAUGUCUAGGGGAUCUGAGAGGAUGACCCCCCACACUGGUACUGAGACACGGACCAG
RNAcentral lists this ribosomal RNA (212 nucleotides) under uncultured bacterium. RNAcentral's name for it is "partial 16S ribosomal RNA". It matches the Rfam family "Bacterial small subunit ribosomal RNA", at positions 122 to 334 of the family's 1533-position model. The record is from RNAcentral.